GGAGGGCGCAAGCGUUGUUCGGAAUCACUGGGCGUAAAGCGCGUGUAGGGCGGGCUUGGGCAAGUCGGUUGUGAAAUCCCGGGGCCCAACCCCGGAACUGCAACCCGAAACUGCCUCGCUUGAGUCCCGGAGAGGGUGGCGGAAUUUCCGGUGUAGAGGUGAAAUUCGUAGAUAUCGGAAGGAACACCAGUGGCGAAGGCGGCCACCUGGACGGUGACUGACGCUGGGACGCGAAAGCGUGGGGAGCAAACAGGAUUAGAUACCCUGGUAGUCCACGCCGUAAACGUUGGGUGCUAGGCGUCGCGGGUAUUGACCCCUGCGGUGCCGAAGCUAACGCAUUAAGCACCCCGCCUGGGGAGUACGGUCGCAAGACUA
Molecule: ribosomal RNA, 375 nt
Filed under: uncultured organism
Description: partial 16S ribosomal RNA
Rfam family: Bacterial small subunit ribosomal RNA
Source: RNAcentral